RNAcentral lists this ribosomal RNA (125 nucleotides) under Morganella morganii. RNAcentral's name for it is "partial 16S ribosomal RNA". It matches the Rfam family "Bacterial small subunit ribosomal RNA", at positions 1412 to 1533 of the family's 1533-position model. Lineage: Bacteria; Pseudomonadati; Pseudomonadota; Gammaproteobacteria; Enterobacterales; Morganellaceae. The record is from RNAcentral.
GGGUUGCAAAAGAAGUAGGUAGCUUAACCUCCGGGAGGGCGCUUACCACUUUGUGAUUCAUGACUGGGGUGAAGUCGUAACAAGGUAACCGUAGGGGAACCUGCGGUUGGAUCACCUCCUUACCU